This 496-nucleotide ribosomal RNA is filed under the name uncultured bacterium. RNAcentral's name for it is "partial 16S ribosomal RNA". It matches the Rfam family "Bacterial small subunit ribosomal RNA", at positions 28 to 506 of the family's 1533-position model. The record is from RNAcentral.
GAUGAACGCUGGCGGCGUGCCUAAUACAUGCAAGUCGAGCGAACAGACGAGGAGCUUGCUCCUCUGACGUUAGCGGCGGACGGGUGAGCAACACGUGGAUAACCUACCUAUAAGACUGGGAUAACUUCGGGAAACCGGAGCUAAUACCGGAUAAUAUAUUGAACCGCAUGGUUCAAUAGUGAAAGACGGUUUUGCUGUCACUUAUAGAUGGAUCCGCGCCGCAUUAGCUAGUUGGUAAGGUAACGGCUUACCAAGGCAACGAUGCGUAGCCGACCUGAGAGGGUGAUCGGCCACACUGGAACUGAGACACGGUCCAGACUCCUACGGGAGGCAGCAGUAGGGAAUCUUCCGCAAUGGGCGAAAGCCUGACGGAGCAACGCCGCGUGAGUGAUGAAGGUCUUCGGAUCGUAAAACGCUGUUAUUAGGGAAGAACAAAUGUGUAAGUAACGAUGCACGUCUGGACGGUACCUAAGCAGAAAGCCACGGCUAACUACGU